AUCUACAGUCAUACCACCCUGAACACACUGAAUCUCAACUGAUCUGGAAACUUAGCAGGGUCAGGUCUAGUUAUUACCUGAAUAGGAGACUGCCUGGGAUUACUGGAUGAUAUAGGCU
This 118-nucleotide ribosomal RNA is filed under the name Notamacropus eugenii (tammar wallaby). Lineage: Eukaryota; Metazoa; Chordata; Mammalia; Diprotodontia; Macropodidae. The record is from RNAcentral.